This is a long non-coding RNA of Acinonyx jubatus (cheetah), 2933 nucleotides long. RefSeq lists it as uncharacterized. The record is from RefSeq and is a predicted model, not a curated record. NCBI's taxonomy places the organism in Eukaryota, Metazoa, Chordata, Mammalia, Carnivora, Felidae. The transcript is spliced from 5 exons.
GCCCUAUGUUUCACCCGAAAUGUAUCCUGUUUAACGCUCAAGGAAUGUUUGGGACGCGCAUCUGUCUCCACCGGGCUGCGUAAUUGCUGCCAGGUAUAUUGCGAAUACAGGUAACGGUAUGUGUGGAUUCUAAAGAGCCCCUCCCCGCCAGCCCUCAGACUGGACUUUGUUACCUCCAUGCCACUUUCACACCUGCUUUUUGUUUCUUUGAUUAAAAAAACAAAGAAGGAUUGUUCAAGUUUAUCGAUGCACUGAGGAAAUGAGGUGUAUUGAUUAGGAGAAAAUACCUGUUCGCUAACAGCUGAGUCAGGGUGUCCCUGGGGGCCUCCUUUAUGGAUUUCAUGCUGUUCCCUCAGAGAAGACUUUUGUUGGUAAAAGAGGUCUGGGCACCAACAUAUCAAUAGCAAAUCAACACAUUUUUAAAAAUCUAACACAUCUUUCUAAACAUCAGCAAGUCAGACUUGCCGUACCUUAGUCAUAGAGCGUCACUAAUUGUAUAAAACAAAUAUCGUCUCUUUUCUGGAUAGUUCCUACAAAUACUUUUCUUUAGUACAGAGAUACAUGUAUUCCCAAAGAGUGGCAAGAGGACAGAAACCUGACCCAGUGAGUACAGUCGGGAAGACUGUGGAAGGACUCGACUAGCACGCACCGUGCCCUUGGCCCAGGGUUCAAGGUGAUACGAGUUGAAGGCGACCCUGUUCUACAGAAUCCUUGCAAAUAUAAAAGUUAUAUUCACCUCUCAAUUUACACACUGCGUGUUAGGUUCCCGGGCCGUGACUGGAGAAGCAGGCCUCCAGGUGGCUGCUGUGUCUCCGUGGCACCGUGACUGGCCACCUGGAGCCCAGCACUGCUGUGCCCGUGAGGGACUGACCGUGACACGAAUCUAUACGUACGUUUGAAAACACGGAAGCACAGGCAACAUCUUGGGGCAUUUUCCAAGCUGAGUCCGAGGAGAGACUGCAUCAGGCAAUUUGCUCUACUUACGUUGUGCUGAGGCGAAUAAUGAAAUGGGUCACAGGUGAAAGCAGGUAUGAAGAAAGGGCGAGUGUUUUCGGUGCCGAUCCGGGGUUAACCGCGUGGCACCAACAACAGUCCACACACUGAACGUCCCAUUGCAGGGACUUCAGGAGUCCGCUGGACUAGUUCUUCACGCAACCCACGUUCUGUCAGACAGGGACAAUGUGUGCUGAAGAAAAGGGUUUUACCUGAAAAUCAUAUUAAAGUAUGGGUUCACAUGCUAAGUAAAAGACCAUAACUAUAUAGAUGGGGGUUUCAGGAGGAGACCCGAGGACCUCAGUUUCCUUUUUGUGGUUUUCUGCUGCGAUCGUGGGCCCAGCAGAGCUGUGAAGUAACGGACACGAGUCGGAGCCACAGCAGACAUUCAAAUAAACUAUGGGCAAGCAAGUACACAACUGAUGAAAAAAAAAAAAAAAAAAAAGAACCCAGAAGAACAACGAGAAAUGAGAGAUACUACUUCAAAGCAGGAAUUGCUCUAGACUUUUCCAGAAACGAAUCGUCAGCUUCCUCAACCUGCCAUGUCCUGGGGCCUGGCCAACGAGUUACACCCUUUCAGACAGGAAGAGGAGGCUGGGAAAUUAGGGGAAUCCUGGACUGAUGCUCAGGAGGCCGCCGGAGUCAUGAGGUCAUGUUUCUACAGAGCAUGAGGGGACUGGAGCAGGUGGGAAGGUAGCGGACGCCCUGGUGAGGCCAUUUGGGGGGCUGGGCAGGGCCACGGGCAGACGGAGACCGCCUGGUUGCUCUGACGGUGACGACCCUCUCCUUGCCUGUGACCUCUGCAGCCCCUCCCUGAGCCCAGGUACAGUGACCUGAGUUCACAUCCUUCUGCCUUCAUCCUCGUCAAAUACUCCGAUCUGCUCUGGGACAAAUGUGGCAUCUUUCCCUCUGAGGUAGAGAAGUCUCCCACCUGCCUAGGAGCUGGUCCGGGCCCCCAGCACCCUCCCCAAGGCGUCACGCUCUGUCCUGACAAAGAGGGGCCCCCGGAGCCCCUUGUUCCACAGGGAUGAGAGGGGAAUGUCUGAGUUGAGAGCCAGGAGACCCCCGUUCGUCACCCUCUAGACUCAGCUGUUGCGUUUUCUAAUCACAGUUACUCAGUGAUGUUGUUUGUCUUAUUUAUGGGGAACUUUUAGGCUAGGUCUGCUCAUAUUCACAGUGACAGCAAUUAUUAGAGGCUAAAAUUAUCCAAGCGGAGAUGCGCUGUCAUGACCCUUGUCAGCGUGAGUAUGGCGAGGGAUGCCCAGUCUUCUGGAGCCCCGAGGCUGCAUUCUUAGGAUCGCAGAACGUUCGUGUGGGAGAGCGUUCCAGGUACAACUCCAUCAAGACUCUCCUGUGUGAAGACGCGUGGGUGAGUCCAGGGAGUUGAGGUGGCCUGUUUGCAGCCACGUGUCUUUGGGCAGCAAGUCCUUCGUCCGAGGUCACCAGGGCUUCCUGCCCUGCCCAUGACACUUCCUUAACUCUCCAGAACUUGCAGAGAUUCUGGGGGUUAACUAAUGGGCUAAUCUCAAAGAUCAGUUCCCAGGAGAUAAGAAGAUCCAAGAGAAGACUUGUCGCUGCUUCCAGUGGGAAAGGUGACUCCUGGCCUCCACGAGUCUGCGCGGGUAGAUGCAGAUAUGGUCUGAUUCUACUUUGCCUUGUUUUUCCUUUCUCUUCCAAAUGACGAGACGUUUGUCUACCAUAACCAGCUGUCCGCGGUCCCGAAACUUCAAGCACCAGAUACGCACAUGAACGUGACACGGGCAUAGGACCCGUCCCCGGGCGGCUAAUGCUGCUGUGGGUGGCAUGAGGUGCCAGCCACAGCCAUGUACCCACCAACUCUGUGGCCAUGAUGAGGAUGAAGAUGUGUUUGAAUUUGUUCAUAGGGACUAAUGAAAUACUCAAAGUCUCUUUCAAUUAAACGUUUCAAGUGAGUGACUGAA